UACGUAGGGGGCGAGCGUUGUCCGGAAUUAUUGGGCGUAAAGGGCUCGUAGGUGGUUCGUUAAGUUAGAUGUGAAAUUGUACGGCUUAACCGUGCACUGGCAUCUGAUACUGGCGGGCUUGAGGCAGGUAGAGGAGAAUGGAAUUCCUGGUGUAGCGGUGGAAUGCGCAGAUAUCAGGAGGAACACCGAUUGCGAAGGCAGUUCUCUGGGCCUGUGCUGACGCUGAGGAGCGAAAGCGUGGGGAGCGAACAGG
This 253-nucleotide ribosomal RNA is filed under the name uncultured bacterium. RNAcentral describes it as "partial 16S ribosomal RNA". It matches the Rfam family "Bacterial small subunit ribosomal RNA", at positions 524 to 776 of the family's 1533-position model. The record is from RNAcentral.